This is a long non-coding RNA of Stomoxys calcitrans (stable fly), 551 nucleotides long. RefSeq lists it as uncharacterized. The transcript has 2 exons. The record is from RefSeq and is a predicted model, not a curated record. NCBI's taxonomy places the organism in Eukaryota, Metazoa, Arthropoda, Insecta, Diptera, Muscidae.
AACAGUGCCCAUGCCUGAUUUACAUACCCACAACCAGUGAUUAAUGUGUAAAUAAAGCACAAAUCUGAGCUUGAAGGAAACUUUUUAAGUUUACCUAGAAAACUUCUUCCCUCGUUUUGACCCAACUUAUCCACCAAUGCUAAUAACAACAAACACAACAAUUUGCCAAACUCUUUCAAUUAAAAAAUUAUUUGGAUCAGUUUUUUCUGUUGCCCUAAUUUGAUGAUCCUAAUAAUGAUAAGACAUAUCGGUGUAAUUGUUUAGAGAUAUUUCAAAAUACUCAAAAAAUCCAUGUGUGUAUACUUUGGAAACUUCCCGCAUACCCUACAUCCUCAUACUGGAGCAUUUAAAAAUCUGUUGCUGAGCUAGCUUUGGAUCUUUUCUAAAAAUUCAUCAAGGCCGUGCAUGAACACUAACUGCGAUGGAUGGUUGGUAAAUGUCACAAUAUUGGCGUCAGUACUUUUUGCGUAAUGCGAAUAUGUAUUUUCUAAGAGUGCACAUCUUUGUUAAUACGAAGGAAGACUGCAUAUAAACCUGAUUUGUUGGUUAAA